This 253-nucleotide ribosomal RNA is filed under the name uncultured bacterium. RNAcentral's name for it is "partial 16S ribosomal RNA". It matches the Rfam family "Bacterial small subunit ribosomal RNA", at positions 524 to 776 of the family's 1533-position model. The record is from RNAcentral.
UACAGAGGGUGCAAGCGUUAAUCGGAAUUACUGGGCGUAAAGGGUGCGUAGGUUGUUAUAAAAGUUAGAUGUGAAAGUCCUGGGCUUAACCUGGGGACUGCAUAUAAUACUGUAUAGCUAGAGUACUGUAGAGGGAGGUGGAAUUUCCGGUGUAGCAGUGAAAUGCGUAGAGAUGCGGAGGAACACCGAUGGCGAAGGCAGCCCCCUGGGUCGACACUGACGCUCAGGCACGAAAGCGUGGGGAGCAAACAGG